GACGAACGCUGGCGGCGUGCUUAACACAUGCAAGUCGAACGGAAAGGCCCUGCUUUUGUGGGGUGCUCGAGUGGCGAACGGGUGAGUAACACGUGAGUAACCUGCCCUUGACUUUGGGAUAACUUCAGGAAACUGGGGCUAAUACCGGAUAGGAGCUCCUGCUGCAUGGUGGGGGUUGGACAGUUUCGGCGGUUGGGGAUGGACUCGCGGCUUAUCAGCUUGUUGGUGGGGUAGUGGCUUACCAAGGCUUUGACGGGUAGCCGGCCUGAGAGGGUGACCAGCCACAUUGGGACUGAGGUACGGCGCAGAGGCGAACAGUAGGCAGCAGGGGGGAAUAUUGCACAAUGGGCGGAAGCCUGAUGCAGCAACGCCGCGUGCGGGAUGACGGCCUUCGGGUUGUAAACCGCUGUCGCCUGUGACGAAGCGUGAGUGACGGUAAUGGGUAAAGAAGCACCGGCUAACUACGUG
RNAcentral lists this ribosomal RNA (468 nucleotides) under uncultured bacterium. Its description in RNAcentral is "partial 16S ribosomal RNA". It matches the Rfam family "Bacterial small subunit ribosomal RNA", at positions 28 to 507 of the family's 1533-position model. The record is from RNAcentral.